RNAcentral lists this long non-coding RNA (2254 nucleotides) under Papio anubis (olive baboon). Its description in RNAcentral is "lncRNA (ENSPANG00000037969.1)". Lineage: Eukaryota; Metazoa; Chordata; Mammalia; Primates; Cercopithecidae. The record is from RNAcentral.
AUGGACUUUCUUCUGCCUCUGCCACCCCAGAGACAGCAAAACCAACUCCUCUUCUUCCUCCUCCUCCUCUUCAGGCUACUGGGCAUGAAGACGACAAGGAAGAAGACAUUUAGGAUGAUCCACUUCCGCUUAAUGAAUAACUGUCCCUCACUGUGUUGUCCAGGCCAGUCUUGAACUCCCGGCCUUAAGCAAUUCUCCCACCUUGGCCUCCUAAAGUGCUGCAAUUACAGGGGUGAGCCAUCAUGCUAGACCUGAUCUAAAGAAAGAAAAUCUUUUUGUACAGAGGUAGGAUGUGUUUGUGUUUUAAGCUAAGUGUUGUUAUAAAAGAGUCAAAAAGCUUUUUUAAAAGUUUGUAAGUGGAAAAGUUACAUAAGCUAAAGUUAAUUUAUUAUUGAAGAAAGGAAAUUUUAAAAAAUGAAUUUAGUGUAGCUCAAGUAUCCAAUGUUUAUCAAGUCUACAGCAAUGUACAGUAAUGUCCUAGGCCUUCACAUUCACUCACCACUCACUCACUGACUCACUCAGAGCAACUUCCUGUCCAGGAAGCUCCAUUCACAUAAGUGUCCUAUGCAGGUGUACCGUUUUUUAAUCUUUUAUACUGCAUUUUUACUAUGCCUUUUCUAUGUUUAGAUAUGUUAAGAUACACAAAUACUUACCAUUGUAUUACAAUUGCCUACAGUAUCAUGCUGUACAGGUUUGCAGUCCAGGAGCAAUAGGCUAUACCUAGGUGUGUAGUAGGUUACACCAUGUAGGUUUGUGUAAGUACACUCUAUGUUGUUCACACAAUGACAAAUCACCUAAGAGACACAUGAUUGUAUAUACAGUGUGUGUGUAUAUAAUAUAUAUUAAAUGUAAAUAUAUAAACAUACUAUAUAUUAAAUGUAUAGGCAUAUAUAUAAACUAUAUAGGUAUAUAUAGUUGAAAUAACUUAUUGAACUACUCUUAAACUAUUUAUCAAAUUAUAAGUUAAAUAAAAAUAAUAAAAUGGUUAUUUUAUAUCAUGUCAUGCCAUCAACCAACUUAAGAAAUACAUCACUGUAAUUCUGAAAUCACUCUUUAUACCCUCUUCAACAUAUUUCCUCUCUCUCUCAUUUUUAUUUAUUUUACACAUAAAUGUAUAUUAUUAACAGUUUAUUGGUUGUGUAUUUCUCUGAAUUUAUAUAAACUGAAUUAUAUUCUAUAUAUUUUUUGAGACUUUCUUUUAGGCACAAAAUAUGUUGAGAUUCAUCCACGUUGAUGUAUAAACACUACCUUUCAUGGCAAUAGAACAGAACUUCAAUAUACAGCUAAGCUUCAAUUUGUGGUGAAAGAAGCUAUGUACUACGAAUUUUGAAAAUCUAGAGACAAUCCUCAAAUUUCUUUUUAUUCAUUAAUAUCUCCGGCCUUUGUCACCCAUCUUUAUUCCAAGUAGCAAUGGAGCUGAAAAUGAACAAUAACUUUGCCAGAUAAUACCUGAUAAUUGCAAAAGACUUACUACUUUCUGCAAGGUGACCAUUUAAGCCUCACCACAAAUGUAGGAAGUAGGCAUACCCCAAGUUUUCAGUCCGAUAGGUGAGAGAAUUGAGGCCUCAAGAUAUUUGGUGACUUUACUAGGAAACCCUUGAUGUAGCAGAGAGAUACAAAAAUCCACUGCUUUUCUCUCUCUCCACUGCAUGCCCGUGGAUCGAUGGGAAAUAAGAACAAGAAGGAAUUAUAGGCUUGAAUGACUUGAAAAUGUUGUGGCCAGAGACGGUGGCUCACGCCUGUAAUCUCAGCACUUUGGGAGGCCGAGGUGGGUGGAUCACCUGAGGUCAGGAGUUCGAAACCAGCCUGGCCAACAUGGUGAAACCCCAUCUCUACUAAAAAUACAAAAACUAACUGGGCAUAGUGGUGGGCACCUGUUAUCCCAGUUACUCAAGAGGCUGAGAAUCUCCUGAACCCAGGAGGCAAAUGUUGCAGUGAGCCAAGAUCGUGCCAUUGUACUCCAGCCUGGGCGACAAGAGUGAAACUCCAUCUCAAAAAAAAAAAAAGAAAGAAAAUGUUGUGAACAGUUUUUCCUGAUAUUUCAUAAUCUCAUUUUAACCUUUGGGUGUAAGUCUGAAGAAAAACCCAUUCUGAUGUAAUCCCCACAACUGAAAUUCAGCCUUGCUUUUGGCCUUCUAAUGCUUCAGAGAAAAGUGGUAUCACACAUUGGUGCACUGGCCAUGUGAAAUCUGCAUUCAGAACCUCUUUUCUAUAACUUUAUAGUGCAGAAGAAUGUUUAGUGAUGAGAUUUGCC